This 262-nucleotide ribosomal RNA is filed under the name uncultured Bacteroidales bacterium. RNAcentral's name for it is "partial 16S ribosomal RNA". It matches the Rfam family "Bacterial small subunit ribosomal RNA", at positions 543 to 801 of the family's 1533-position model. Lineage: Bacteria; Pseudomonadati; Bacteroidota; Bacteroidia; Bacteroidales. The record is from RNAcentral.
AUCCGGAUUUAUUGGGUUUAAGGGAGCUGUAGCUGUACAUUAAGUGUGUUGUGAAAUGUAUACGCUCAACGUCAGAAUUGCAUCGCAUACUGGUAUCCUUGAGUACGCACAACGUUAGCGGAAUUCGUCGUGUAGCGGUGAAAUGCUUAGAUAUUACGAAAAACUCCGAUUGCGAAGGCAGCUGACGGGUACUCUCAACUGACGCCUUAAGCUCGAAAGUGCGGGUAUCAAACAGGAUUAGAUACCCUGGUAGUCAAGGGCG